AGAGCCUUAGGCUAAUCCACUAAGCCGAGAGCCUUCAAAGCCCUAGAUACGGUCACCCGUAGGCUCUG
This 68-nucleotide transfer RNA is filed under the name Coleodactylus cf. brachystoma. Its description in RNAcentral is "tRNA-Trp". Lineage: Eukaryota; Metazoa; Chordata; Lepidosauria; Squamata; Sphaerodactylidae. The record is from RNAcentral.